RNAcentral lists this small nuclear RNA (19 nucleotides) under Arabidopsis thaliana (thale cress). RNAcentral's name for it is "snRNA_19279". Lineage: Eukaryota; Viridiplantae; Streptophyta; Magnoliopsida; Brassicales; Brassicaceae. The record is from RNAcentral.
AAUUGUGGUCGAAUGCAAA